UUUUUUUUUUCAUUUCUACAUUUUAGAAAUCCCGCGAAUCAAAUAGGCCCUAAGCCACUCAUGGGUCUGAUGAAAUUCAUCUCCCUUGAUGAUAUAGCCAUGGAUACAUUCACACUAACCUAUUUGUAUGGAUCAACCAACUCACCCAACGUAUUAAGCCACUCAUGAGUCUACACUGAAACCCCUGUCCUGCAAAAGACAUGAUAAGGGAUAAUUUACUUGAGAUAAGAGGCAAACAAGUUACUUGUCCAUGAAAACAUGCUUUCUUUCUCUUGGAAACAGAGGAAAACACUUUGACACAUCUCAUUAUUUAAGAAGAGUUUAAAAAUAAUUACAAUAACCGAGCCAAAAGCCCCACUACUCUCGUGGCAUAACUGAGCUCAAAUGCUUUGACCCAAUGACAAUCCACAAGGCGGCCUCAUCCUUGAUCGUACGCACAACCACGCGAGGCAAAGAAAAAGCAUUGUUGAAGAAGCAAGCAUUCCGCUCAUUCCACAGCUCCCAAGAAGCCAACAAGAGAAGUGAUGACAUCUCUUCUUGGAGGUGUCGUUGACGAUUGCUAGAGAGGUACACCAUUCCAUAAUGGAAUUAAAAUGCUGGCAGCGAUCUCAAUGGAUGGCAUCCGACCAAGCGAAGCUCUAACAUCCUUCUGGACGUGCUUGGAGAAUCCGAACGCCUCCCUCUUGCACAAUCGCAACCUCCCAACCCCUCCUCUGGAAUCGAUCAGCUGUCCACCCCGCGGUCUUGAAGAAUUAGAGCAUCUACAGCCGGGCGCCUCAAACCCACCUCAUACGCCAGGGCGGGCCGCCCGGUCACGAUUUUUCAACCCAGAUGGACUCCUUAAACGGGCUUCAAACGCUCAGGCUGACCGACACCCCUCAUAUCCAGUUCAAAUAUGGGGGUGGAUAUGGGGGCUCCCGGGCGCGCCCGGGAAUGCCCGCCAUGUCGGACCCGAUAGCCCGACCCCACCGCAAAUUGCACCAGACCCUUCCUCGUCCUCCUGCCGCCCUCCAACAUUUCCCGCGCCCGGAGCCUCGUCGUCCUUCACCUUUGCUCCCAAUCCUCACCACCGGUCCCAAUCCACCGCCGGAGAUGUCAUCCAGCCCGACCCAGACUGCCGCGACGAAGAUGUAGUCUGCCUUGUCCGUCGGCGGGGUCCCUUUGUCGGCUGCGACUUGCAAGGCGGAGAACGUCGCCCGGAAGUUGUGGCGACGCCGACAACGAGAGAUGGAGGCAUUGGCGGUGUCGCAGGGCGGUUCGGACAUGGGGGAGUAGCUAUCUCCUUCACCGCGCCCGAAUCCCCGCACCCCUUCGAUCCGAGCACCGACGCGGAUUAUGUCGUCCGACCCCGUUGGGACAGAGGAGGAUUCGACGACCGACUGGGCCAUUCCGGAUAGCUUUCCGCCCACGCAGAUGCAGGUGGUCGAUGUAUGUGACUCGCCUCGUUCAGGAGCGGAUUAGCACAGGCACCGGCACUGCCCGGGCUGCCCUCCACAUGUUCGAUGGAAUGACCGAACAAGAGUCGGUGCAUUUUCUUUGCUCUUGUUUGAUUAGAUUUUUGCAUAGAUCACUAGAUCAUUUCACAUAUGAUGAAUGCUUGCAAACCAUAAUCAUGUAGGAGGUGUUCUUGUCGAACAUGAUUAAUGACAAUGAAGACCCGACCGAAAUGAAGUAUGAAUUGGAGGCCACCACCGCAUUUGAAGUUGGGACAACAUCCGAUCCCAAUCCGAGCAAGAAGAAGAAGAAGGAAAAGACGGCGAAGGCAAGAGGCCUGACAUUCUCAAGAUUUGAGGACAUCUUGUUGGUCAAAGCUUGGUUGGCCACAAUGACGGAUCCAAUAUGCGACACUGAGCAAAAGGGGAACAAGUAUUGGGAGAAGAUUUGGAGGGAGUGUCACGAACAAAAGGAGUAUGCGGAGCCGCAUCCUGUCGUGACCACCCGCAAUGUGGCAUCUCUCCAACAUCGUUGGGGGAUCAUCCAAGGGGAAGUGAACAAGUACGUCGGCUAGUACUCACAAGUGACCAAACACCCUCAAAUUGAGAUGGGAGUGGUAACUGACGUAAGCUCAAUUGCUUCAUCUUGUCGUCAUUUGCAUAUGCUUCUUGUGUUUACAUUCUCGUGCUCAUACAUAUGUUGUUUGCUAGACAGCGGUGACGGUCACUUUGUAUCACGAGGUGGAGAAGAAUCCCUUUGCUUUUAGACAUUGUUGGAUCAUAUUGAGUGGCAAGCCGAAGUGGAACCAAUUUGUGGCCGAUCUCAAGUCCGGCAAUAAGAGGAAUGAUGGCUCAAGCUCCAACCAAUCAAUUGGGUUGGACGAUGUUGUCGUGACAAAUGGAAAAGAUAUCGUGCCAAAGGAUAACUGCCAAGUCAUGGGAAACAAGUGGGAGAAGGCAUGUGCCUCCCGUGAUGUUGUGACCACAAAAAUGUCGUCCACAUGGAUGGGCAUUUUUUCGGCGAGGGAGAAUGAUACACCCAUUUUGCAACAUGUUUUUAUGUGAUAUUUAUUGCAUUAUGAACUGUUAUUUUACUUUAUGAUACAAAUUUUAUGCCUUUUCUCUCUUAUUUUGCAAGAAUUAUAUGAAGAGGGAGAAUGCCGGUAACUGGAAUUCUGGACCGGAAAGGAACAAAUCUGAGAUACCUAUUCUGCACAACUCCAAAUGUCCUGAAACUUUAUAGAGAAUUGUUUUGAAAUAUAUAAAAAAAUAUUGGGCGAAGAAAUACCAAAAGGAGACCCACCAGGUGGCCACAAGCCUGGGGGCGUGCCCUACCCCCAGGGCGCACCCCUGAGCUUGUGCCCCCCUGGCCAGCCCCCGGUGUCCAUCUUCUGCUAUAUAGGGUUUUGAACUAGAAAAAAAAAUAAGAGGAAGGCUUUUGGGACGAAGUGCCACCAUCUUGAGGCGGAACCUCAACAUAAGCAAUCUAGAGCUCCGGCGGAGCGAUUCCGCCGGGGAAACUUCCCUCCCGGAGGGGGAAAUCGAAGCCAUCGUCAUCACCAAUGAUCCUCUCAUCGUGGGAGGGUCAAUCAUCAUCAACAUCUUCACGAGCACCAUCUCAUCUCAAACCCUAGUUCAUCUCUUCUAUUUAGUCUUUGUCUCAAAACCUCAUGUUGGUACCUAUGGGUUGCUAGUAGUGUUGAUUACUCCUUGUAGUUGAUGCUAGUUGGUUUAUUUGGUGAAAGAUCGUAUGUUCAGAUCCUUAAUGAUAUUCAAUACCCCUCUGGUCUUGAACAUGAACAUGCUUUGGAGCGUUCCAUCAAGUCUUGGUGGAUCACUCCCCUCCAAAGAAAAGUCUUGGUGGAUCACCAUGUUUAAGCUGCAUGUCCCCAAUAGGAAGGCAAUGGGCUAUCCAUGCUUGUUAGUUGAGAAAUUUUGACUGAGAGGAAUGCUAUGGUGUUCCAACAUAGAUCCCCCGACCACACUUUUCCUUGAGAUCUAGGAGGCCGUUCUUUGGUGCAUCCGUUUCAAACAAAAUAUGGCAACUUCAUUCAUGUUUUUUUUUCAUUUCUACAUUUUAGAAAUCCCGUGAAUCAAAUAGGCACUAAACCACUCAUGGGUCUGAUGAAAUUCAUCUCCCCUGAUGAUAUAGCCAUGGAUACAUUCACACUAACCUGUUUGUAUGGAUCAACAAGCUCACCCAACGUAUUAAGCCACUCACGAGUCUCCACUAAAACCUUGUCCUGCAAAAGACAUGAUAAGGGAUAAUUUACUUGAGAGAAGAGAAGAGGCAAGCAAGUUACUUGUCCAUGACAACAUACUUUCUUUUUCUUGGAAACAGAGAAAAACACUUUGACACAUCUCAUUAUUUAAGAAGAGUUUAGAAAUAAUUACAAUAACC
This 3834-nucleotide long non-coding RNA is filed under the name Triticum aestivum (bread wheat). Its description in RNAcentral is "long non-coding RNA (TAES_LNC005963)". The record is from RNAcentral. Lineage: Eukaryota; Viridiplantae; Streptophyta; Magnoliopsida; Poales; Poaceae.